CAAUGAUAAAUUGCAAUUUGCAUUGUAUGGCUUCUAAACCACUUUAUAAGUUUAUAAUUUAUUUUAUAAGCGACAAUGGAUGUGAUGCCAAUGUAAUUUGUAUCAUAGUAAAUUAGGAGGAUCUUCGAUCACCUGAUGCCGCGCUAGUUACAUAUUAAAUUAUUAUUUAAUACAAUGACAAAGCCUAGAAUAAAUUGUAAACGACUUUUGUAACAGGCAAGGUGUUGUAAGUGGUUGAGGAGCUGCCAUACUGCGAUCCACUGAAGCUUAUCCUUUGCUUGAUGAUUCGA
Molecule: non-coding RNA, 290 nt
Filed under: Drosophila sechellia
Lineage: Eukaryota; Metazoa; Arthropoda; Insecta; Diptera; Drosophilidae
Description: Eukaryotic large subunit ribosomal RNA
Rfam family: Eukaryotic large subunit ribosomal RNA
Source: Rfam by way of RNAcentral